AACGCUAGCUACAGGCUUAACACAUGCAAGUCGAGGGGCAGCAUGGUCUUAGCUUGCUAAGGCCGAUGGCGACCGGCGCACGGGUGAGUAACACGUAUCCAACCUGCCGUCUACUCUUGGACAGCCUUCUGAAAGGAAGAUUAAUACAAGAUGGCAUCAUGAGUCCGCAUGUUCACAUGAUUAAAGGUAUUCCGGUAGACGAUGGGGAUGCGUUCCAUUAGAUAGUAGGCGGGGUAACGGCCCACCUAGUCUUCGAUGGAUAGGGGUUCUGAGAGGAAGGUCCCCCACAUUGGAACUGAGACACGGUCCAAACUCCUACGGGAGGCAGCAGUGAGGAAUAUUGGUCAAUGGGCGAGAGCCUGAACCAGCCAAGUAGCGUGAAGGAUGACUGCCCUAUGGGUUGUAAACUUCUUUUAUAAAGGAAUAAAGUCGGGUAUGGAUACCCGUUUGCAUGUACUUUAUGAAUAAGGAUCGGCUAACUCCGUGCCAACAGCCGCGGUAAUACGGAGGAUCCGAGCGUUAUCCGGAUUUAUUGGGUUUAAAGGGAGCGUAGAUGGAUGUUUAAGUCAGUUGUGAAAGUCUGCGGCUCAACCGUAAAAUUGCAGUUGAUACUGGAUAUCUUGAGUGCAGUUGAGGCAGGCGGAAUUCGUGGUGUAGCGGUGAAAUGCUUAGAUAUCACGAAGAACUCCGAUUG
This 694-nucleotide ribosomal RNA is filed under the name uncultured bacterium. RNAcentral describes it as "bacterial SSU rRNA". It matches the Rfam family "Bacterial small subunit ribosomal RNA", at positions 32 to 715 of the family's 1533-position model. The record is from RNAcentral.